AACGGCAGGAGGGCAAACCGAGGAGUUUACUCCUCGGGGUUGUAGGACUGCAAUGUGGACUUAAAGAGUAUAGAAGAACUACCUGGGAAGGUAGGCCAAAGAGAGUAAUAGCCUCGUAUUUGAAAUAGUCUUUAUACCUAGCAGUAUCCUGAGUACGGCGAGACACGCGAAAUCUCGUCGGAAUCUGGGAGGACCAUCUCCCAACCCUAAAUACUCUCUAGUGACCGAUAGUGAACCAGUACCGUGAGGGAAAGGUGAAAAGUACCCCGGAAGGGGAGUGAAAUAGAACCUGAAACCGUGUGCCUACAACAAGUUCGAGCCCGUUAAUG
Molecule: ribosomal RNA, 329 nt
Filed under: Streptococcus suis
Lineage: Bacteria; Bacillati; Bacillota; Bacilli; Lactobacillales; Streptococcaceae
Description: partial 23S ribosomal RNA
Rfam family: Bacterial large subunit ribosomal RNA
Source: RNAcentral